UAUUUUGUAACGUUAUCUGGAACGUUUGUUAGUUUAGGAAGACUUUCUCUGAGAAAUAAUUAGUUCAUUGAGUAAAAAUUAUUCUUGCCGCGGAUUUACAAUAAUUAUACAGCAAAUUUAGAAUUUUAAGAACCAUUUAUAUAUUAGCCUCAAAGUUUACCAUAAAAGCUUGCCUUGAGCUUUGUACUAAAAAUAGUUAAGAGAUUAAACGUAGAUGGCAUACGAAACAGGAAUAAAAUCAACUGUGGUAUUUGUCUAAACUUUUAAGUUGAAUAGUAUUAGUGAAGGUCAGAAUUAAUGAGACAUCACUUUUGGAGGGUCUUAAACUCAUCUGCUGGACUGAAUCCCCCAUUUUAGAAAGUCGUUGGCUAGAGUACAGAAGCUAGUCACUGUGUCUCUACCUUUUAAUUUCUGAGUUUAAGUUUUUUUGGAAGUAUACCACAAGUGGCGAAAGCUCUGCGCUCUUGUGUAAUUGAUCAAAAUCUACAAAGCGUCCAACCGACGUUUUUUUUGUCCGGAUCAAAGGUCUUUGGACCUCUACACCCGCCAUUUUGUUGGCGCACUACACGUGGAACACUCCGUCGGUACCAACUCGUGAAGGCCCGCCAGUUUUGGCAGUCAAACGGGGCUGAGGAAAACCCAUCCGGCCUGCUUGCGCCUCGUAGUGAUCUGGCAGAGUACCGGAGCCGCCGACGCCCUCUCCCCGCAACUCUACAUCGGCCAAAAGUCCACUGAGCGUACCAGACAGCACCGGCCCUAUAGAUGCGGUCCCCCUAGCCAGUGUGAGACCCCGCUACGUCUCUGCGCCACUGCCUGAAUCAGCGGUCGCCGUUGGCAUGCCCCUCGGUCGGUGAACCGCAUGACGCCCAGCAUAAAACCCUGCGCAGGUUAGUGUAUCAUGGCCAUGAUGAACACACAACAUACAACACAUACACAGACACACACACACUCUAUCUAAAACGAAAAGAUGAAUAUACAUGCAAAAUGAAUUUAAGCUAAA
Molecule: long non-coding RNA, 1000 nt
Organism: Aedes aegypti (yellow fever mosquito)
Lineage: Eukaryota; Metazoa; Arthropoda; Insecta; Diptera; Culicidae
Exons: 3
Source: RefSeq, a predicted model, not a curated record